CCCAAAAAAAAAAAAAAAAAAAAGCCACAACGCACCAAACACUGAUGCUCAACAUUGUUCGCUUCGUGGCCAUCGUGAGGUGGCCACAACGCGUUGUGGACGAUUCCGCCAAGGCCAAUACGCGUUUUGCUCGUUUUGGGGCGGCCACGCACGGUUCUGAAACGGACCAGGGUAUGUAUUUUAGUAGUAUGCUCCGUGCAGACUACUACAAAUUACUGCUAAUUCUCCAUAUACGCAUGUGUGUGUGGAGAAUUUGGACAUGUAUAGCAUGUGUACACAUGUGCACGUAGUAGGAGAGUCCUGAUGCUUUCCGUAGCAUACUACUACAAAUACAUGGCUUGAUCAGUUUCAGAGCGGUGUGUGGUCGCUUCGAAACGCCCAGAACGCUUAAUUGGUUUUGGCGGAGUUGUCCGCAGCGCGUUGUGGUUGCUUCGCGAUGGCCACGAAGCGAAAUAAUCUUGAGCAUCGGUGUUUGGUCAUUUGGAUGACCACAAGGCACUGUGGCUGUUUUUUCGGCCAUUGUGCGAUUUCGGUGUUUGGCCGUAACAUAUACAUCCAUUUAUAUUA
This 567-nucleotide long non-coding RNA is filed under the name Androctonus crassicauda. Lineage: Eukaryota; Metazoa; Arthropoda; Arachnida; Scorpiones; Buthidae. The record is from RNAcentral.